UACAGAGGGUGCAAACGUUGCUCGGAAUUAUUGGGCGUAAAGCGCGUGUAGGCGGCUUGUUAAGUUGGUCGUGAAAGCCCAUGGCUCAACCAUGGAAGUGCAACCAAAACUGGCAAGCUAGAGUUCUGAAGAGGAUGGCGGAAUUCCCAGUGUAGAGGUGAAAUUCGUAGAUAUUGGGAGGAACAUCGGUGGCGAAGGCGGCCAUCUGGGAAGCGACUGACGCUGAGACGCGAAAGCGUGGGUAGCAAACAGG
Molecule: ribosomal RNA, 253 nt
Filed under: uncultured bacterium
Lineage: Bacteria
Description: partial 16S ribosomal RNA
Rfam family: Bacterial small subunit ribosomal RNA
Source: RNAcentral